UAGUGAGUUUGAUCCUGGCUCAGGACGAACGCUGGCGGCAUGCUUAACACAUGCAAGUCGAACGACGCAGCUUGCUGCGUAGUGGCGCACGGGUGAGUAACACGUAACUGACCUACCCCGAAGUCCGGCAUAACAGUCCGAAAGGACUGGCUAAUUCAGGAUGUGAACCCACGCUAUGGCGUAGUGUUUAAAGAUUCAUCGCUAUGGGAUGGGGGUUGCGGCGCAUCAGCUCGUUGGU
This 238-nucleotide ribosomal RNA is filed under the name uncultured bacterium. Its description in RNAcentral is "partial 16S ribosomal RNA". It matches the Rfam family "Bacterial small subunit ribosomal RNA", at positions 1 to 253 of the family's 1533-position model. The record is from RNAcentral.